CCUGACUCAAGAACGCUUGAGUGCUAUGACUUACCACGUUUUGAAACUCACAUGUGUUCCAUCAUGUUUAAAUGUAUUAGGAGUAUUCAGCUACUUUCUGGAUUUAUCUUGAAUGAGAAGAGGAACUACUGAAUUAACACUCAGGCAGAAAGUGUCCUGUGUUUGAUGCUGCAGUUCAGAAGUCCUUCAUAAAUGGCUUUGAUCUGGAGAGUUUGUACUGACUUUUUCUGAAUAGGAACCAUCUCCCCUGCUCCACUCAUCGGCACCAGAUCCUGCGACAUCUCUUUUCCACAGUGAGGUAGGAUAACCUUGCCAAAGUGGAAAGGAAUUUGGACAGACUUGACAUCCAGCCUGUGCAAGCUUCCACGAGCUGGACACUAAAAUGAAGAGAGAGUUUAUUCAUUCCCAUCUCAACACAGCCCACCAGAAUUAAAAGACAUUUUAACCUACGAAGGAGAUUGGGUCAAACACCUCCCAACCUGCCUACACAGAGGAGGCUGUUCAAUUCCCCUGGCUACCAAGUCUCCACAUUUCUGUGUUGGAUGUGAAGAGUAAAGGGAAUCUGGCAGGAAUCAGGAGGCAUCCAAGUCAGCAGAAGAGACAGCACCAGGUAGGAGGCUUGAUUCCUUUUUCCUAAUAUUCUUGCAGUAUGCAAUAUAUGCAUUAUUUCUUCUCCUCCCCUUGAACUUUUGUUGAUUCCUCUUCUCCACAUCAGUGGAGCCUUUGUAUUUGUACUUCUGGAGCAGGUGGCAUGGUUGGAAUAUCAGAGCAGUAUGUAUUAGAGUGAAACCUACAGACAGAAAUAGAAAGUAAAUGGAAGAUGAAUUGAUCAGAGGAAAGGCAGAGGAUGGAGGGGAUAAAGUAAAGGCGAGGAGAGACACAAGUAAUACCUUGCCUGUGUGCUAUGGUAAUUUAUUAUUUUUAUAUGGUGCCCGGGGUGUGCAGUAUCUGUUUUACUGAACAAAUAGAAGAGUUCUCAGCCCCAAACAGCUAACAUAUUAAUUUAUUGUGUGACAGCCUGACAAAAUGAGCAGCCAGGCCAGUGUGACAAGGAAUAAUUUAGUGCUUGUGGAGCAUGAGUAACUUUACUAUUGGUACCCUCACUUGUGUAUGGCAUCCGAUGGACGUCUCUUUUGUUUGUAAGGACUUACUGUACAAGAAAAAUUUCCCUUUCAGGGGAAAUCUGCCUGUGGGGGGUGUCUUAGGGCAUGGAACAGGGUUCUGUCUGGAGGAGCAAAGAGGCUGCCAGGUCAGUACACUGGGAGGGGAGGGGUGAGGGCCUGAGCCCCAGCCUGGCAGAGGGGGAACACCAGAAAGCCCAGACCAGCGUGUGCAGGGACAGGCACAGGGGAGCAGGUGUGGGGCAGAGGGAAGGAGGGGACUCGGGAGGGAAAGCUGGAGUGUUUGCUGAGAGCCACCUCAAGCUGCAGCUUCUAAGGAGCCAUCCAGCUGGGACAGCAAGGAGAUGACCUGAACCAACACGCUCCAGUGGGAGAGGCUCCAGUGCAAACCUGCCGUGACCACAGCACCGGGGGAGCAAUAGCUGAGUUGUUUUCCAACACAGUUAUUGCCACUUAAAUUGCAGUUUUAUUCCAAAAGCAAAUUCCAAAGUUUUAUGUCCAUAAAGGUUUAGACAUAAACAAGAAAGAAGUCAGGAAAGUGGUAUGUACUGUGUAAACAGUCUCACUUUAUAAUUAAUGCUGGAGAUCAGGGAGCAGGAAUGGCUGUG
Molecule: long non-coding RNA, 1729 nt
Organism: Parus major (Great Tit)
Lineage: Eukaryota; Metazoa; Chordata; Aves; Passeriformes; Paridae
Exons: 4
Source: RefSeq, a predicted model, not a curated record